Molecule: ribosomal RNA, 750 nt
Filed under: uncultured bacterium
Lineage: Bacteria
Description: bacterial SSU rRNA
Rfam family: Bacterial small subunit ribosomal RNA
Source: RNAcentral
GGGAAGCUUAUACUGCAGUCGAGCGAGCUUGCCUAGAUGAUUUUAGUGCUUGCACUAAAUGAAACUAGAUACAAGCGAGCGGCGGACGGGUGAGUAACACGUGGGUAACCUGCCCAAGAGACUGGGAUAACACCUGGAAACAGAUGCUAAUACCGGAUAACAACACUAGACGCAUGUCUAGAGUUUGAAAGAUGGUUCUGCUAUCACUCUUGGAUGGACCUGCGGUGCAUUAGCUAGUUGGUAAGGUAACGGCUUACCAAGGCAAUGAUGCAUAGCCGAGUUGAGAGACUGAUCGGCCACAUUGGGACUGAGACACGGCCCAAACUCCUACGGGAGGCAGCAGUAGGGAAUCUUCCACAAUGGACGAAAGUCUGAUGGAGCAACGCCGCGUGAGUGAAGAAGGGUUUCGGCUCGUAAAGCUCUGUUGGUAGUGAAGAAAGAUAGAGGUAGUAACUGGCCUUUAUUUGACGGUAAUUACUUAGAAAGUCACGGCUAACUACGUGCCAGCAGCCGCGGUAAUACGUAGGUGGCAAGCGUUGUCCGGAUUUAUUGGGCGUAAAGCGAGUGCAGGCGGUUCAAUAAGUCUGAUGUGAAAGCCUUCGGCUCAACCGGAGAAUUGCAUCAGAAACUGUUGAACUUGAGUGCAGAAGAGGAGAGUGGAACUCCAUGUGUAGCGGUGGAAUGCGUAGAUAUAUGGAAGAACACCAGUGGCGAAGGCGGCUCUCUGGUCUGCAACUGACGCUGAGGCUC